UACGGAGGGCGCAAGCGUUGUUCGGAAUCAUUGGGCGUAAAGCGCGUGUAGGCGGCUUGGCAAGUCGGAUGUGAAAGCCCGGGGCCCAACCCCGGAAUGUCAUUCGAUACUGCUUCGCUCGAGUCCCGGAGAGGAGAGCGGAAUUCCCGGUGUAGGGGUGAAAUCCGUAGAUAUCGGGAGGAACACCAGCGGCGAAGGCGGCUCUCUGGACGGUGACUGACGCUGAGACGCGAAAGCGUGGGGAGCAAAC
This 250-nucleotide ribosomal RNA is filed under the name uncultured bacterium. RNAcentral's name for it is "partial 16S ribosomal RNA". It matches the Rfam family "Bacterial small subunit ribosomal RNA", at positions 524 to 773 of the family's 1533-position model. The record is from RNAcentral.